UAUGGCCAUAUCAAGUUGAAACAUUGGUUCCCGUACGAUCACCGAAGUUAAGCAACGUCUAGAUCGGCCAGUACCUUGAUGUGUGACCAUUUAGAAAUACCAGGUGUGGU
Non-coding RNA from Acanthosepion pharaonis, 110 nucleotides. Lineage: Eukaryota; Metazoa; Mollusca; Cephalopoda; Sepiida; Sepiidae. The record is from the annotation of a GenBank genome assembly.